UCAGAAAGGCUUUUAGAUUGACGCCUCCACCCCCACCCACCCAUCCCCCCGCGGCUCUUCUCUCCCUUCUUUUUCCUCUCUGUCAUCGCCGGCCACUCAACGACGAUCUCAAUCAUGGUAGAGAUCGAAGAAGCAUCCACCGGCGCCGAUGAGAUGUCUCCACUGUUAUCGAACCCGAAAACCGACCCGAUCCCGUCAACCCGGACUAAGUCUGUUAAGACCAAGGUCCCGGAGAUCAAGGUCCAUCUGUAUAAGCAAGGGAAGGGUCCGAUCGACGAAUUCACGUCGUCCUUAGGUGGAUUUGAGCAAGACCAGCUAGAGGUUCGUGAUAUUCUAGACAAAUACGGGUUCAAAUCGGUCUAUGCAUUCAAACCGGAGACUGGCCGAGGUGUUCCUAUCAGAUUCAAUCCCCGUAACGGACGAUCGAUUCUAACCUAUAGAGAUGGAUCGGAGAUCCAUAUUGAUGGAGAACCUAAGGACUCGUUGAUCCAACCUAUUACCAGGAUAUUGGUUGGUGUUGCAGUGAUCACCCUAUUGAUAGUAAUGGUGAUGAAAGAGUCUCCAGAAUGGGCCAAAAAGUUGAACAUCACUGGUGGUAAUAUCCCACCAUGGGUCCUGGCUGCUGCGGUUAUUCUGUUCACGCGCAUAAGGAAGAGGACCAAGGAUUUCUUUGGAAAACGCCCGUGAUGAACUGCUGCUUAACCACAGGGAUCUUUUAACAGCACUGGCUUGGUUGUCUCAUCAAAGCUGCCUAGAUUCUCCGACAUGUACACACUUACAGUAGAAAGUGCUGAUCCCAAGUCCAUUUCCGCGAGGCCAAAAGUUGAAUUUACCAAGAGCGUCACAAAAUGGUUUGCCGAAGAUGGAGUUCUAGUUGAGGGCCUAUUCUGGAAAGAUGUUGAAGCCUUAGUUAACGAUUAUGCUAAGGAACACAAAAAGAGCAAAUAGAUUCAAUUUCAAACAUUUUGAUAGGAAUGUGGAUGGCAUGGAUAGCCAAUGAGAUUGAAAACAUCGGUUUAUGACUUACUGGAUUAAUAUCAUCUAUAUCAUUGUUGAAGAAAAUUUAAUCCAAUUUUCAUCAUAGUUUUAUAUUUUGA
Molecule: RNA transcript, 1097 nt
Organism: Solanum lycopersicum (tomato)
Lineage: Eukaryota; Viridiplantae; Streptophyta; Magnoliopsida; Solanales; Solanaceae
Source: RefSeq, a predicted model, not a curated record